Molecule: ribosomal RNA, 152 nt
Filed under: uncultured bacterium
Lineage: Bacteria
Description: partial 16S ribosomal RNA
Rfam family: Bacterial small subunit ribosomal RNA
Source: RNAcentral
AGCCUGAUGCAGCCAUGCCGCGUGUGUGAAGAAGGCCUUCGGGUUGUAAAGCACUUUCAGUCAGGAGGAAAGCGUGGUGGUUAAUACCCAUCAUGUGUGACGUUACUGACAGAAGAAGCACCGGCUAACUCCGUGCCAGCAGCCGCGGUAAU